Molecule: ribosomal RNA, 686 nt
Rfam family: Eukaryotic small subunit ribosomal RNA
GCUCGUAGUCGGAUUUCGGGGCGGCUUCGUCGGUCUGCCGAUGGGUAUGCACUGACGCGGGCGUCCUUCCUUCCGGAGACGCGUCCUACUCUUAGCUGAGCGGGGCGUGGAGACGGAUCGUUUACUUUGAAAAAAUCAGAGUGUUUCAAGCAGGCAUCAUCGCUCUUGCAUGGAUUAGCAUGGGAUAAUGAAAUAGGACCUUGGUGCUAUUUUGUUGGUUUCGAGCACCGAAGUAAUGAUUAACAGGGACAGUCAGGGGCACUCGUAUUCCGCCGAGAGAGGUGAAAUUCUCAGACCAGCGGAAGACGAACCACUGCGAAAGCAUUUGCCAGGGAUGUUUUCACUGAUCAAGAACGAAAGUUAGGGGAUCGAAGACGAUCAGAUACCGUCGUAGUCUUAACCAUAAACCAUGCCGACUAGGGAUUGGAGGAUGUCCACUUUUGACUUCUUCAGCACCUUACGGGAAACUAAAGUCUUUGGGUUCCGGGGGGAGUAUGGUCGCAAGGCUGAAACUUAAAGGAAUUGACGGAAGGGCACCACCAGGAGUGGAGCCUGCGGCUUAAUUUGACUCAACACGGGGAAACUUACCAGGUCCAGACAUUGUGAGGAUUGACAGAUUGAGAGCUCUUUCUUGAUUCGAUGGGUGGUGGUGCAUGGCCGUUCUUAGUUGGUGGAGUGAUUUGUCU